Long non-coding RNA from Hevea brasiliensis (rubber tree), 1728 nucleotides. RefSeq lists it as uncharacterized. Lineage: Eukaryota; Viridiplantae; Streptophyta; Magnoliopsida; Malpighiales; Euphorbiaceae. The transcript is spliced from 3 exons. The record is from RefSeq and is a predicted model, not a curated record.
CAAUUUAGGAUAAAUAUUUUGCAAUCUCCCACAAAGGAGAGUGAAUCUUAAUAUGCUGCUUGCUUACCUUGCUUCCAGUUUGGUUCUUCUCUUUGCUUAUUAUUACUUAAGCUUUCGACUUGGUUCUUUGAUUAUCCUUGGAUUUCUUAUAAAAUUCCUAAUUCUUUUUAAUUGGGUGUAUUAUUUGUUAUCUUUGACAGAACGAAACCAUGGUAGCAAUUAAAGCUCCACGUGGCACUACUUUGGAAGUCUCAGAUCCUGAUGAGGUAAUCCCAUAAGCAGACGCCGGUCGAUCAAGUACAAAAUGCAUAAUUUUUGUGCAGGCAUACUCAAUAUGGGCUAUUAACUAUCCCCAAAGGAGAUACAGGAUAGUCCUUAGAAGUACAAUGGGUCCCAUAGAUGUUUAUCUUGUCAGGCACUGUUCCUUCUUAUGCGUUUUAUAUGACUGGUGAGACAAACUUCACAUUAGUGGAAUGGUUUUUCCAUUGAAUUUUUUAAGACUUUUAAAUAACUAUUCUGAUCCCUCUCCCCGUUGCCCCUUCACAUUAAUUAAUUAAUCUGCCAUUAUUUUGAAUGUUACCUAUUGGUGGGAUACAAAAUUCAUGUAAAACCUGCCUUCAGUUAUGUAUAAGCUCUUUAUCAGUUUGUUGGUCUCAGUCUUUGAUGGUUUGGAAAAUUAGGAACAACUGCUCUUGCGGAAAGAAUUUCUAAUUCGGUACAAACAAUUCAAUUGUUCAAAAGAUACUAGAUUGCAUAUAUAAACUUGCAAAAUUCGCUUUAAAGUGCCUAAUGAUUGACCUUGAAUUAGUUUAUCUAAUAUAGCUGUGAUGAAUUAUUUGCCAGUGGUCUGUUCUUGCUUCAAUGAAUCAUCUCUAAUGUAUUUUUUAUUUAUUCUAGUGCUAUAGGGUAGUGUUGACAGUUGAUGCACACACCCAUAUGUGCCAUAUGGUAGUGUUGUAAAAUGCAUCUGUCAUCACAAAUAAUCUUUAGACUGCAAAGGAGCUAAGAAAUAAUGUCACUUUAGUCAUAAGGGCAACAUUAGUAGUUUGUGCAUAAUUCAAAACUGUUGUUUCAGCACUCCUCAAGGCUGCAAGAAAGAUUAAUUUUAGAGAUAUUUGAAGCCAAAUAGCCUGCAACUGAAAGAUUGGUGAUCUAGGCCUUGCAGCAAUCAUACAGGGUUCUCAAUCAGCACAUAAUGUCAUAGUAGCAUUUGUUAGGCACCCUAGAAUUCAUGGCACCAGAAUUAUACGAAUGGUAUUACAAUAAGCUUGUUGAUAUUUACUCAAUUUGGUAGGUGUGUUUUAGAGAUGCUUACAUCUGAAUACCUUUAUGGUGAAUGUGUUAACCCGGCACAAAUUUACAAGAAAGCGACUUCGGUAAAUCAUGAUGCCAAGAUUUAUAAUUAUUAUCAAGCUAGAGUAUGACAUUCAUACCAUUUCAGUUAUGCAGGGAAAGCUUUCUGCUGCAUUCUAUCAGAUUCAGGACUUAAAGAAGAGCGGCUUAUUGAUGCCUAUCAUACAUUCAACUACCAAGAAGAUGAUGGGACUAAUCAUCCUUUCAAUUCUUUCUCCUUUUGUUCAUUAUCUCAAGCAUCCAUUUACCCAUUCAAUUUCUGAGAAUUUGAUGUUUAAUCCAUUUAUUGUGGAAUGUGGAAUUAGAAAACCAUCAAAUAUAUGUAUAUAAAUUAUUUUUCUCAAUAGUAUAGAGAAUUUAAUAUUUUCAUAUUAA